RNAcentral lists this unclassified non-coding RNA (96 nucleotides) under Epispathidium sp. RNAcentral's name for it is "partial internal transcibed spacer 1". Lineage: Eukaryota; Ciliophora; Litostomatea; Haptorida; Spathidiidae. The record is from RNAcentral.
AAAUACACUAAUAACUAACUGAAAGUUUGCAACACUCGUGUUGUAUUUGAACUUACUCUAAAAGAGACCAUAACUAAAUAUUGGUUGAUAAAAACU